Molecule: ribosomal RNA, 488 nt
Filed under: uncultured bacterium
Lineage: Bacteria
Description: partial 16S ribosomal RNA
Rfam family: Bacterial small subunit ribosomal RNA
Source: RNAcentral
GACGAACGCUGGCGGCGUGCUUAACACAUGCAAGUCGAACGAAAAUACCAAGCUUGCUUGGUUGAUUAGUGGCGAACGGGUGAGUAACACGUGAGUAACCUGCCCCUUACUUUCCUGGAUAACUGCUCGAAAGGGUAGCUAAUACGGGAUAUUCUGACCAGCCUGCAUGGGUUGGUUUGGAAAGGUUGUUUUUCUGGUAAGGGAUGGGCUCGCGGCCUAUCAGCUUGUUGGUGGGGUGAUGGCCUACCAAGGCUUUGACGGGUAGCCGGCCUGAGAGGGUGGACGGUCACACCGGGACUGAGAUACGGCCCAGACUCCUACGGGAGGCAGCAGUGGGGAAUAUUGCACAAUGGGCGCAAGCCUGAUGCAGCGACGCCGCGUGAGGGAUGAAGGCCUUCGGGUUGUAAACCUCUUUCGUCAGGGAACAAGGCACUGCUUUUUUGGUGGUGUUGAGGGUACCUGGAUAAGAAGCGCCGGCUAACUACGUG